RNAcentral lists this ribosomal RNA (497 nucleotides) under uncultured bacterium. RNAcentral describes it as "partial 16S ribosomal RNA". It matches the Rfam family "Bacterial small subunit ribosomal RNA", at positions 28 to 507 of the family's 1533-position model. The record is from RNAcentral.
GAUGAACGCUGGCGGCGUGCCUAAUACAUGCAAGUCGAGCGAACAGACGAGGAGCUUGCUCCUCUGACGUUAGCGGCGGACGGGUGAGUAACACGUGGAUAACCUACCUAUAAGACUGGGAUAACUUCGGGAAACCGGAGCUAAUACCGGAUAACAUGUUGAACUGCAUGGUUCAACAGUGAAAGACGGUCUUGCUGUCGCUUAUAGAUGGAUCCGCGCCGCAUUAGCUAGUUGGUAAGGUAACGGCUUACCAAGGCAACGAUGCGUAGCCGACCUGAGAGGGUGAUCGGCCACACUGGAACUGAGACACGGUCCAGACUCCUACGGGAGGCAGCAGUAGGGAAUCUUCCGCAAUGGGCGAAAGCCUGACGGAGCAACGCCGCGUGAGUGAAGAAGGUCUUCGGAUCGUAAAACUCUGUUAUUAGGGAAGAACAAAUGUGUAAGUAACUAUGCACGUCUUGACGGUACCUAAUCAGAAAGCCACGGCUAACUACGUG